UCCCAGGUGGCUCAGAUAGUAAACUGUCUGCCUGCAAUGCAGGAGACCCAGGUUCGAUCCCUGGGUUGGGAA
This is a transfer RNA of Ovis aries (sheep), 72 nucleotides long. It matches the Rfam family "tRNA". Rfam says of the family: Transfer RNA (tRNA) molecules are approximately 80 nucleotides in length. Their secondary structure includes four short double-helical elements and three loops (D, anti-codon, and T loops). Lineage: Eukaryota; Metazoa; Chordata; Mammalia; Artiodactyla; Bovidae. The record is from Rfam.